UCUCCGUUGGUGAACCAGCGGAGGGAUCAUUACUGAGUUACCGCUCUACAACCCUUUGUGAACAUACCUAACUGUUGCUUCGGCGGGCAGAGGUCCCUCGCGGAUCUCUCCCGGCAACGCCCUCACGGGCGGAGCGCCCGCCGGAGGAUACCAAACUCUAUUUUAACGACGUUUCUUCUGAGUGGCACAAGCAAAUAAUUAAAACUUUUAACAACGGAUCUCUUGGUUCUA
RNAcentral lists this unclassified non-coding RNA (231 nucleotides) under plant metagenome. Its description in RNAcentral is "partial contains small subunit ribosomal RNA, internal transcribed spacer 1, and 5.8S ribosomal RNA". The record is from RNAcentral.